UCUCCUCUGCUAGCUUGCAGCUUCACGGUGCAUUAGCUAGCUAGCUAAUGGUUGUUGGGUGUUUAUCUUAUUAGCUGUCGGCUUCAAACAUGCACUUUCCAAAGAUGGAUUUAUUCCACUGCAUCACGUCACCAAGCUUGCUAACAUCAGAAAGGUCCCCGGGUACAAUGCUUCAAGGCUAAAACGUCAAUUACUUGUGAUGAAAAGAAGGCAGGAGGGGGCGGGGAAUCCAAGACAAAAUGCGGAGCUAAGGUGAAACCCGGUCAGGUGGAAUGUGUCGUGGUGCUGCCCCGAGGUCUGGAUCUGUACAAGAUGUUUCUCCAAUAACUCUCCACAUCAGCACAACUAGUGGAAGAGUUUGGCCUGGAGUGCUGUCCCCUCCUUCAGUGGCAUGGGGGUACUUUGUACGCAUGAGUGUGUGUGUGUGUGUGUGUCUUUGUAAUUGUGCAGUCACACAGAAGUCACACACUCUGUAUGAGUGCUUGUUUGGACUUUGGGAGACACACAGGGUUACUGUGUUAAUGUGGGUGCAUAUGUCUAUGGGCGUCUGUAGUGUGUGUGUGUGUUUGUGGAGUUAUACAGGGACACUGUGCAUAAUUUUAUGUGUCAAUAUGUUUUUCUUGUUUUAAUUAAUUAAUUAUUUGUCAAAAAACCCACUGCAUUUAGAUAAAUAACCUUGUUAGUUUUAGUUCUUUGUUUAUCUUUGAGUUUUACUUCUUAAAUAGUAACUUAAGAGAGUCAAGAGUUUUGAACAGUUUAAUCUAAGAGUAUUAACUAAUACUAAAAAUUAUUUAUUUAAUUGUUAUUAUUAUAACAAAACUUUCUGACAUUAGGGACCAAAAAUUAUCUGCGACAUGUUGUUUCCUUCUUUCUCAUCCUGUUAAUUAUCUCUUGACCCCUGAGAUUUCUUUUACGACUCUAGUUUCCCACCCUUGGAUUAGGAUCCUCUGCAAAAUCAGAAUAUUCAAACUUAAUAAACAGAUUCAAUCUUGUCGAUCCUG
This is a long non-coding RNA of Micropterus salmoides (largemouth bass), 1001 nucleotides long. RefSeq lists it as uncharacterized. The transcript is spliced from 2 exons. The record is from RefSeq and is a predicted model, not a curated record. NCBI's taxonomy places the organism in Eukaryota, Metazoa, Chordata, Actinopteri, Centrarchiformes, Centrarchidae.